UUUUAAUUGGAAACUCGUAUGAAGGGUUGGACAAAGGAUAAUCUGUUUUUAUUUUUAUUUUUGAAUUUAUCUUUUAAGUGAAAAGACUUGAAUAUAUUUAAGGGACGAUAAGACCCUAUAAAUCUUUAUAUUUAACUUAAUGUUUAUAUUGAUUUUUAAUGUAAAUAUAAAAUAAAGAUUAACAAUGUUAUGUUGGGGUGACAAGAAUAAAAAAUAAACUGUUCUAAAAAUAAACAAAGUUAUUUGAUUAAUAGUAGAUCCUUUUUAAAGAUAAAAGUUUAAGUUACUUUAGGGAUAACAGCGUUAUUUCUUUUGAGAGUUCAAAUCGAAAAAGAAGUUUGCGACCUCGAUGUUGAAUUAAAAUUUCUUUAUAGUGCAACAGUUAUACAAGAAAGUCUGUUCGACUUUUAAAAUUUUACGUGAUCU
This 426-nucleotide ribosomal RNA is filed under the name Galathea punctata. RNAcentral describes it as "partial 16S ribosomal RNA". The stretch from base 294 to 426 matches the Rfam family "Bacterial large subunit ribosomal RNA", at positions 2473 to 2606 of the family's 2925-position model. The record is from RNAcentral. Lineage: Eukaryota; Metazoa; Arthropoda; Malacostraca; Decapoda; Galatheidae.